AGCUGGAAAUACACUCUGAAGAACAGCUCGACCACGGAGGAAUAAAUGCAAACGUAAAGCUAGAGUCAGAGCUCUGCUUUUAGGUUACACUCCACGGAACUUGUGGUUAGAACCAGACUUGCACAGUUUAGAUGCAAAGAAAGUUGAGAGAAAAGCUGCCUCAGUAAAUUCAUUGUGAGAUCAAGCACAUAAGAAACCAGACAGCAGAAUAUAUAAGUGGAGGAACAGCUUCAAAAACCUCCAUUCAGACGCAUUCAGGAGAUGGGAUACAACUGUCCGGAUCAUCGGGUCAAGAAACAUCUGAGUCUGGACCAACAGAGGAGAGUCUCAUCUGGGCCAAGAAGAGGAAGGACUGGACUGUUGGGGGUGGUCCAAUGUUAAGGUCUUGUUUUCUGAUGAAAAUAAAGUAUCUUUCAUUUGGGAAUCAAGGUCCAAGGGUUUAGAGGAAGACUUGGGAGGAGCAGAGCCAGCUGAUAGUGAAAUCACCACAGUCAGUCAGGAUCUGUGCCUCAAUGUCCAGCACUGGUGUUGGAAAACUCUGCUUUCUUCAAUCCAUGAUCACUGCAACAGUCAAAGUUCUAGAGCACUUCAUAAUUCCUUCUGCUGAGGAUCUGGGUGGAGAUGCAGAUUUCAUCUUCCAGAUGAACUUGGCCCUAGUCCCAUCUAUUGAAGUAAUGAAGAUGCACAAAUAAUUUUGGUAAAACUUUAUUCUGCAGUUGACAUGACUGUGUGUAGAUUGUACGUUAGCAUAGCAAAGCUAACACGGGACCUAAAGUUUAAGAGAGGAAAAGCUGCUGAAACAGUGGGAGUUUCCAAACCUGGCUUCUAUUAAAUUGGUAGGUAAUGAUCCUGUUAAGGAAUCUGAAGUAGUGCUGGGCGAUGUGAACAUAGAUAUUGUGUAGGUCACAUGUGUCAAAGUCAAGUCCCGGGGGCCGGAUCCGGCCUAGCAGGUAAUUCUAUCCUGCCCUCCAGAUCAUUUUAUUUUAUUGUUAUUACUGGCCCAAUGUUAUCUUGCACUCAUGUCUAACUUGUAUACUUCUGACAAAAUAAUAUAUUUUUAUGGAGAGUAAAAUAUUGAGAGUUAUUUGAGGUUUAAGUUGAUUUAUUCUGAAAUAAUAUUCCUGUCUGCUUUUAUUCAUAAUGAUGUUACAAAGUUAUGGUUUUAAAGUUUUAAAAAUGUUGUUGUAGUGGGUUCAAUAUAUGUUUAUCCUGUUCCGUCCGCGACCUAAGUUGUGUUUUUGGAUUUUUGUGUUUAACACCCCUGGUGUAGGCAAUAGAGAUGUGUAUUGGGCUAUUUUUCUUCUAUCCUUAUUAUUUUUUUUAUUUUAAUUGCUGACAUUUGGUGCAAAAAAUGUGUUUUCCUACAAAGAAACUUAAAACUGUUGUGCACUUUAAAACAUGUUUUGCAUU
Molecule: long non-coding RNA, 1410 nt
Organism: Oryzias melastigma (Indian medaka)
Lineage: Eukaryota; Metazoa; Chordata; Actinopteri; Beloniformes; Adrianichthyidae
Exons: 3
Source: RefSeq, a predicted model, not a curated record